This 253-nucleotide ribosomal RNA is filed under the name uncultured bacterium. Its description in RNAcentral is "partial 16S ribosomal RNA". It matches the Rfam family "Bacterial small subunit ribosomal RNA", at positions 524 to 776 of the family's 1533-position model. The record is from RNAcentral.
UACGGAGGGUGCAAGCGUUAAUCGGAAUUACUGGGCGUAAAGCGUGCGCAGGCGGCUUUGCAAGACAGAUGUGAAAUCCCCGGGCUCAACCUGGGAACUGCAUUUGUGACUGCAUGGCUGGAGUGCGGCAGAGGGGGAUGGAAUUCCGCGUGUAGCAGUGAAAUGCGUAGAUAUGCGGAGGAACACCGAUGGCGAAGGCAAUCCCCUGGGCCUGCACUGACGCUCAUGCACGAAAGCGUGGGGAGCAAACAGG